Long non-coding RNA from Mauremys reevesii (Reeves's turtle), 829 nucleotides. RefSeq lists it as uncharacterized. Lineage: Eukaryota; Metazoa; Chordata; Testudines; Geoemydidae. The record is from RefSeq and is a predicted model, not a curated record. The transcript has 3 exons.
GCUGCCUGGUGGGUUCGGGGCUGUGUCCUGCCGCUCUCCCCGUGUCCAAGAGAUGUCAACAGUAAGCAGCAAAAGAAAAUUGCAACCUGUAUGUGGAGUUGAGAAGAGCAGGAAGGUCGUGGAGAAAUGAAUGGACCAGCCCACCAGUUCAUGAUUUCAUUAUUUGUGAGAGGCACAACAGCUGCAGUUUAGGAAUUUUAGGAAGAGGAACAUGGUGUUCAUAGGAGACACAAAUCUACAAGAAUCUUAUAUGAGCCACUGGAUUUGGUACUAUGAAUGGAUCGGUUCCAGCUUUGUGCUCUAAAUCUUCCUCCUGCUGCCUGUCACAUCUCUGCAUUCCUCUCCCAGUGCCCUUCUCCAAUCUUUCUCCUGUUACCAGCCCCAACCCACUUAUUCUUAACCCCCACCCCGACACACACACAUGCACGUGCAACAGCAGACAGAAAACAGAAUGAUGCUUCUCCCUCAUCUGUGUCCUGUUUGACUCUGCCAGGAUUUCAUCCUCUCCACUCUGAGGUGAAGGGAACAGUUUGACCCUAUGUUGCUAUUAAAAAAAAAAAAAAGUGAAAUGGGAUCUGGGUGUCUAAAGUUAGCAUUUUUAUUAUAGCUAAAGCAGUUUUAUUUGAGGAGACCAGGAGGGUUACAAAUACUUAAACUGGAUAGUUGCAAUAAUUCUUUUAAAAUAUUGUAAUUCAACAAGCACUUCCUAUUGAUAACAAAUGUGAACUAAUUUAUAUCCACAUGAAAACCAGUAAAUGUGGCCAGUUCCAUUCCAUUGAUUUAUUAUUAUUAUUUUAUUAUUAUACAUGGCCAGAGUAACUGUAAGCAC